This is an RNA transcript of Syngnathus acus (greater pipefish), 2264 nucleotides long. It is a transcript of the gene named glycerol kinase-like, with no coding region annotated. Lineage: Eukaryota; Metazoa; Chordata; Actinopteri; Syngnathiformes; Syngnathidae. The transcript has 20 exons. The record is from RefSeq and is a predicted model, not a curated record.
AUGGAUCCACUCGUGGGUGCUAUUGACCAGGGCACGAGCUCAACGAGGUUUCUGGUCUUUAAUGCCAAGACAGCUCAAUUAAUCCUUCACCACCAAGUAGAAAUCAACCAAAGUUUUCCAAAGGAGGGGUGGGUGGAGGAAGACCCCAGGGAAAUAAUACAGUCAGUCUAUGAAUGUAUUGAGAAAACAUGUGAGAAACUUAGCCAGUGCAACAUUGAUAUUGGCAACAUAAAAGCGGUGGGUGUGACCAAUCAGAGAGAGACAACCCUAGUUUGGGACAAGCACACUGGAGAACCUCUCUAUAAUGCCAUUGUUUGGCUAGACCUUCGCACACAGUCCACAGUGGAGCGGCUCAUUGAUAAAUCACCAGGCAAAAAUAAGAAUCACCUCAGGCAUAAGACGGGCCUUCCCAUCAGCACCUACUUUAGUGCAGUGAAGCUACGUUGGCUGCUGGAUAACGUCGAAACGGUGCAACGGGCUGUGCAAAGCGGCCGCGCCAUCUUUGGCACGGUGGACUCUUGGAUCAUCUGGUGCCUGACAGGUGGCAGGAAUGGAGGAAUCCACUGCACAGAUGUUACUAAUGCCAGUCGCACCAUGCUCUUCAACAUUCACACUAUGGACUGGGAUCAUGAGCUCUGCAGUUACUUUGAUAUUCCAAUGGAACUUCUCCCCAAAGUCAAAAGCUCCUCUGAAAUAUACGGCUGGAUGAAAACAACCAGCCUUGAAGGAGUUCCAAUCUCUGGGUGUCUUGGUGACCAGUCGGCAGCCCUGGUGGGUCAGAUGUGCUUGGAGGACGGCCAGACCAAAAACACGUAUGGGACGGGUUGCUUCAUGCUCCAAAACACAGGGAACAAGCCUGUGAUGUCAGAGCACGGCCUGCUGACCACAGUUGCCUACAAACUGGGAACAGAUCAGCCUCCUUGCUAUGCGCUCGAGGGCUCAGUGGCCAUUGCUGGGGCAGUCGUUCGAUGGCUCAAGGACAAUAUGGGCAUGAUACAAUCCUCCGCAGAGAUUGAGAAGUUAGCUGCCUCAGCAGGGACAUCUUACGGCUGUUAUUUUGUGCCUGCUUUCUCCGGGCUCUAUGCCCCAUAUUGGGAGCCCAGUGCACGAGGCAUCAUCUGUGGCCUCACACAGUUCACCAACAAGAGCCAUUUGGCUUUUGCUGCUCUUGAGGCUGUUUGCUUUCAAACCAGAGAGAUCCUCGAUGCAAUGAAUAUGGACAGUGGUGUACCUCUGGUGCAGCUGCAAGUGGAUGGAGGCAUGACUGCUAACAGAUUGCUGAUGCAGCUCCAGGCUGACAUCCUUGGCGUAUCUGUAGUGAAACCUUCGAUGUCAGAGACAACAGCUCUAGGAGCCGCCAUGGCAGCAGGAGCUGCAGAGGGUGUCAAAGUGUGGAGCCUGAGCCCAAGUGAUCUUCCUCACAUCACUUCUGAAAAAUACGAGCCUCAGAUCAAUUCUGACGAGAGUGAGUUCCGCUUUGCUCGCUGGAAGAAGGCUGUCCAACGAUCCAUGAACUGGGAGACGACAGAGCCAGCAGGCUGCGGUGACAACGGUUUAGCCAAGGAGGUGAACAGCAUCCCUUGGGGGCUCUCUCCUUCACCUCCCUCUGUCAGAGUCGACCUCUAAAGGUCCGGCAUUCGUUGCUGCUUUUAUUCUUUGGGCAAAUAUUUUGGGUGUCUGCAGAUAACCAGCAGAGACGUUCGAUGGGAAUAAAGGUGCUCGAUGCAGCCACCUCAGAGCUGUCACAUGACUCGUCAGUGGACAAUUGCCAGUUGGAAUGAAGAGUGGAAGCUGUGGAGCAAUGAGAAGGUUUCCCUUUUAUUUGGAAUAAGAGGACACUUCAAAUAAAGUAUUUUCUAGGCAUGGUUAUGACAGGGUUGGAGGGUGGGGCACAUUUGGAGGAUUGAUGGGAUUCGGUAGAUAUUCCAAGGUGAACGUUUAUUUGUUUAAAAUUGAAUCAGGAAUGUUGAGUGUAACAAAUAGAAAAUAGUACAGUGGCAUUUGUAUGCAGCAUAUCUGCAACUUUUCAGUUUCCCUGUGCAAUUGAUUGACAAGCACCUUUUUUUCAUCAGAUGGAAUGAAUUACAGAUUACUUAUUAAAUGUUUUUUUUAAACUUUUUUUUAUUUUUUUAACUCAGGGCUUCCACAUGAUCUCAAAUAAGUAAAACAAAGUCAUUCACUAUGCAAGGUCACGUGAGAUUUUGUAUUUAAAUCCAACAUGUAUGCACUAAAGUUUUGAGGACAAAUAUAAUUAGUCAAGCAAA